UUGCUACGGAAUAACUCAGGGAAACUUGUGCUAAUACCGUAUGAGCCCUAAGGGGGAAAGAUUUAUCGGCAAAUGAUCGGCCCGCGUUGGAUUAGCUAGUUGGUGGGGUAAAGGCCUACCAAGGCGACGAUCCAUAGCUGGUCUGAGAGGAUGAUCAGCCACACUGGGACUGAGACACGGCCCAGACUCCUACGGGAGGCAGCAGUGGGGAAUAUUGGACAAUGGGCGCAAGCCUGAUCCAGCCAUGCCGCGUGAGUGAUGAAGGCCCUAGGGUUGUAAAGCUCUUUCACCGGUGAAGAUAAUGACGGUAACCGGAGAAGAAGCCCCGGCUAACUUCGUGCCAGCAGCCGCGGUAAUACGAAGGGGGCUAGCGUUGUUCGGAUUUACUGGGCGUAAAGCGCACGUAGGCGGGCUAAUAAGUCAGGGGUGAAAUCCCGGGGCUCAACCCCGGAACUGCCUUUGAUACUGUUAGUCUUGAGUAUGGUAGAGGUGAGUGGAAUUCCGAGUGUAGAGGUGAAAUUCGUAGAUAUUCGGAGGAACACCAGUGGCGAAAGGCGGCUCACUGGACCAUUACUGACGCUGAGGUGCGAAAGCGUGGGGGAGCAAACAGGAUUAGAUACCCUGGGUAGUCCACGCCGUAAACGAUGAAUGUUAGCCGUUGGGGGAGUUUACUCUCG
RNAcentral lists this ribosomal RNA (677 nucleotides) under Brucella intermedia. RNAcentral's name for it is "bacterial SSU rRNA". It matches the Rfam family "Bacterial small subunit ribosomal RNA", at positions 133 to 842 of the family's 1533-position model. The record is from RNAcentral. Lineage: Bacteria; Pseudomonadati; Pseudomonadota; Alphaproteobacteria; Hyphomicrobiales; Brucellaceae.